AAGCCGUUGAUCGGUACGGGUUGUGAGAGCAAGAGCCCGGAGAUGGAACCUGAGACAAGGUUCCAGGCCCUACGGGGUGCAGCAGGCGCGAAACCUCCGCAAUGUGAGAAAUCGCGACGGGGGGAUCCCAAGUGCCAUUCUUAACGGGAUGGCUUUUCAUUAGUGUAAAGAGCUUUUGGAAUAAGAGCUGGGCAAGACCGGUGCCAGCCGCCGCGGUAACGCCGGCAGCUCUAGUGGUAACAAUUUUUAUUGGGCCUAAAGCGUCCGUAGCCGGUUUAAUAAGUCUCUGGUGAAAUCCUGUAGCUUAACUGUGGGAAUUGCUGGAGAUACUAUUAGACUUGAGACCGGGAGAGGUUAGAGGUACUCCCAGGGUAGAGGUGAAAUUCUGUAAUCCUGGGAGGACCGCCUGUUGCGAAGGCGUCUAACUGGAACGGUUCUGACGGUGAGGGACGAAAGUUAGGGGCGCGAACCGGAUUAGAUACCCGGGUAGUCCUAACUGUAAACGAUGCGGACUUGGUGUUGGGGUGGCUUUGAGCUGCUCCAGUGCCGAAGGGAAGCUGUUAAGUCCGCCGCCUGGGAAGUACGGUCGCAAGACUGAAACUUAA
This 605-nucleotide ribosomal RNA is filed under the name uncultured archaeon. RNAcentral describes it as "bacterial SSU rRNA". It matches the Rfam family "Archaeal small subunit ribosomal RNA", at positions 254 to 859 of the family's 1478-position model. The record is from RNAcentral.